Molecule: RNA transcript, 584 nt
Organism: Nycticebus coucang (slow loris)
Lineage: Eukaryota; Metazoa; Chordata; Mammalia; Primates; Lorisidae
Gene name: peptidyl-prolyl cis-trans isomerase-like 1
Exons: 2
Source: RefSeq, a predicted model, not a curated record
AUGUCCAAGAUCAAGACAUCGGCAGAUUCAGUGUCUGAAGGGGAAGUAGCAAUUGCUAGAGAAACAGUCCGCUUGUCUCAUUAUGGCAGCAAUUACCCCCCAUAUUCCUGGCAGCCUCCCAGCAUUUCCUUGGAGACCAGCAUGGGAAUCAUUGUGCUGGAGCUAUACUGGAAGCAUGCUCCAAAGACCUGUAGGAACUUCGCUGAGUUGGUUUGUCAAGGUUACUACAAUGGCACCAAAUUCCACAGAAUCAUCAAAGACUUGGUGAUCCAAGGAGGUGACCCAACAGGGACAGGUCGAGGUGGUGCAUUUAUCUAUGGCAAACAGUUUGAAGAUGAACUGCCUCCAGACUUGAAAUUCACAGGGGCUGUAAUUCUUGCAAUGGCCAGUACAGGGCCAGGCACCAUCAGCAGCCAGUCUUUGUGACCCUAGCUGCCACCCGGUGGCUUGAUGGCAAACAUACUAAUUUUGGCUGAAUGUGCCAGGGUACAGGACUGGUGAAUCGAAUGGGAAUGGUGGAAACAAACUCCCAGGACUGCCCCGUGGACAAUGUGAAGAUUAUUAGGGCAUACCCUUCCCGGUAG